RNAcentral lists this ribosomal RNA (756 nucleotides) under Pantoea ananatis. RNAcentral's name for it is "bacterial SSU rRNA". It matches the Rfam family "Bacterial small subunit ribosomal RNA", at positions 44 to 790 of the family's 1533-position model. Lineage: Bacteria; Pseudomonadati; Pseudomonadota; Gammaproteobacteria; Enterobacterales; Erwiniaceae. The record is from RNAcentral.
GGGCCCUACACAUGCAGUCGGACGGUAGCACAGAGGAGCUUGCUCUUCGGGUGACGAGUGGCGGACGGGUGAGUAAUGUCUGGGAAACUGCCCGAUGGAGGGGGAUAACUACUGGAAACGGUAGCUAAUACCGCAUAACGUCGCAAGACCAAAGUGGGGGACCUUCGGGCCUCACACCAUCGGAUGUGCCCAGAUGGGAUUAGCUAGUAGGUGGGGUAACGGCUCACCUAGGCGACGAUCCCUAGCUGGUCUGAGAGGAUGACCAGCCACACUGGAACUGAGACACGGUCCAGACUCCUACGGGAGGCAGCAGUGGGGAAUAUUGCACAAUGGGCGCAAGCCUGAUGCAGCCAUGCCGCGUGUAUGAAGAAGGCCUUCGGGUUGUAAAGUACUUUCAGCGGGGAGGAAGGCGGCAAGGUUAAUAACCUUGCCGAUUGACGUUACCCGCAGAAGAAGCACCGGCUAACUCCGUGCCAGCAGCCGCGGUAAUACGGAGGGUGCAAGCGUUAAUCGGAAUUACUGGGCGUAAAGCGCACGCAGGCGGUCUGUUAAGUCAGAUGUGAAAUCCCCGGGCUUAACCUGGGAACUGCAUUUGAAACUGGCAGGCUUGAGUCUCGUAGAGGGGGGUAGAAUUCCAGGUGUAGCGGUGAAAUGCGUAGAGAUCUGGAGGAAUACCGGUGGCGAAGGCGGCCCCCUGGACGAAGACUGACGCUCAGGUGCGAAAGCGUGGGGAGCAAACAGGAUUAGAUACUUUGG